AGAGUUUGAUCCUGGCUCAGAUUGAACGCUGGCGGCAUGCUUUACACAUGCAAGUCGGACGGCAGCACAGAGAAGCUUGCUUCUUGGGUGGCGAGUGGCGAACGGGUGAGUAACAUAUCGGAACGUACCGAGUAGUGGGGGAUAACUGAUCGAAAGAUCAGCUAAUACCGCAUACGUCUUGAGAGAGAAAGCAGGGGACCUUUGGGCCUUGCGCUAUUCGAGCGGCCGAUAUCUGAUUAGCUGGUUGGUGGGGUAAAGGCCUACCAAGGCGACGAUCAGUAGCGGGUCUGAGAGGAUGAUCCGCCACACUGGGACUGAGACACGGCCCAGACUCCUACGGGAGGCAGCAGUGGGGAAUUUUGGACAAUGGGCGCAAGCCUGAUCCAGCCAUGCCGCGUGUCUGAAGAAGGCCUUCGGGUUGUAAAGGACUUUUGUCAGGGAAGAAAAGGCUGUUGCUAAUAUCAGCGGCUGAUGACGGUACCUGAAGAAUAAGCACCGGCUAACUACGUGCCAGCAGCCGCGGUAAUACGUAGGGUGCGAGCGUUAAUCGGAAUUACUGGGCGUAAAGCGGGCGCAGACGGUUACUUAAGCAGGAUGUGAAAUCCCCGGGCUCAACCCGGGAACUGCGUUCUGAACUGGGUGACUCGAGUGUGUCAGAGGGAGGUAGAAUUCCACGUGUAGCAGUGAAAUGCGUAGAGAUGUGGAGGAAUACCGAUGGCGAAGGCAGCCUCCUGGGACAACACUGACGUUCAUGCCCGAAAGCGUGGGUAGCAAACAGGAUUAGAUACCCUGGUAGUCCACGCCCUAAACGAUGUCAAUUAGCUGUUGGGCAACUUGAUUGCUUAGUAGCGUAGCUAACGCGUGAAAUUGACCGCCUGGGGAGUACGGUCGCAAGAUUAAAACUCAAAGGAAUUGACGGGGACCCGCACAAGCGGUGGAUGAUGUGGAUUAAUUCGAUGCAACGCGAAGAACCUUACCUGGUCUUGACAUGUACGGAAUCCUCCAGAGACGGAGGAGUGCCUUCGGGAGCCGUAACACAGGUGCUGCAUGGCUGUCGUCAGCUCGUGUCGUGAGAUGUUGGGUUAAGUCCCGCAACGAGCGCAACCCUUGUCAUUAGUUGCCAUCAUUCAGUUGGGCACUCUAAUGAGACUGCCGGUGACAAGCCGGAGGAAGGUGGGGAUGACGUCAAGUCCUCAUGGCCCUUAUGACCAGGGCUUCACACGUCAUACAAUGGUCGGUACAGAGGGUAGCCAAGCCGCGAGGCGGAGCCAAUCUCACAAAACCGAUCGUAGUCCGGAUUGCACUCUGCAACUCGAGUGCAUGAAGUCGGAAUCGCUAGUAAUCGCAGGUCAGCAUACUGCGGUGAAUACGUUCCCGGGUCUUGUACACACCGCCCGUCACACCAUGGGAGUGGGGGAUACCAGAAGUAGGUAGGGUAACCGCAAGGAGUCCGCUUACCACGGUAUGCUUCAUGACUGGGGUGAAGUCGUAACAAGGUAGCCGUAGGGGAACCUGCGGCUG
RNAcentral lists this ribosomal RNA (1521 nucleotides) under Neisseria meningitidis. Its description in RNAcentral is "bacterial SSU rRNA". It matches the Rfam family "Bacterial small subunit ribosomal RNA". Lineage: Bacteria; Pseudomonadati; Pseudomonadota; Betaproteobacteria; Neisseriales; Neisseriaceae. The record is from RNAcentral.